AUGGGGAAACCGGGACCGGAACCGGGAAUGGGACCGGAUCGGGAUCGGAACCGGGAAUGGGAAACCGGGACCGGAACCGGGAAUGGGAACCGGAUCGGGAUCGGAACCGGGAAUGGGAACCGGAUCGGGAUCGGAACCGGGAAUGGGAAACCGGGACCGGAACCGGGAAUGGGAACCGGGUCGGGACCUGGAAACCGGAACCGGGAAUGGGGAAACCGGGACCGGGAAUGGGAACCGGAUCAGGAUCGGGACCGGGAAUGGGGAAACCGGGACCGGAACUGGGAAUGUGGGAACGGGAUCGGAACCGGGACUGGGAACGGGAACGGGACAACGGGAACGGGACUGAAACCGGGAAACCGGAACCGGGAAUGGGAAUGUGGGAGCGGGACCGGGAACGGGGACUGGGAAACCGGGACCGGAACCGGGACUGAAAACGGGAACGGGAACGGGACGGGAAUGGGGAAACCGGGACCGGAACCGGGAAUGUGGGAACGGGAUCGGAACCGGGACUGGGAACGGGAACGGGACCACGGGAACGGGACUGAAACCGGGAAACCGGAACCGGGAACGGGACUGGGAAUGGGAUCGGAACCGGGAACGGGGACUGGGAAACCGGGAAACCGGAACCGGGAAUGGGAAUGUGGGAGCGGGACUGGGAAACCGGGACCGGAACCGGGAACGGGAUCGCAACCGGGACUGAAACCGGGAACGGGAACGGGACGGGAAUGGGGAAACUGGAACCGGGAAUGUGGGAACGGGAACGGGAACGGGACUGAAACCGGGACCGGGAAUGGGAUUGGGAAUGGGGAAACCGGGACCGGGAACGGGGACAGGAUCCGGGAGGGUCCGGGAGGGUCCCGGGAGGGUCCCGGGGGUCUCCGGGAUUCGAGGAUCCCCCCCGCCCCCCCCGUGCCUCAGUUUCCCCUCUCGCCUUUCAGCCCCACCGGAGCCGAGCGGGACCCCCGAAACUCGGGGUGGGGGCGGCGAGAGCCCCCCGGGCACACCGGGAACCCCAAAAACCGCCCCGGGAACCCCAAAAACCGCCCCGGGGACCCCAAAAACCACACCGGGAAUCCCAAAAACCACACCGGGCACACCGGGAACCCCAAAAAGCGCCCCGGGGACCCCAAAAACCGCCCCGGGCACACCGGGAACCCCAAAAACCGCCCCGGGGACACCGGGAACCCCAAAAACCAUCCCGGGAACCCCAAAAACCGUCCCGGGAACCCCAAAACCCCACCCAGACCCCCCAAAAGACCUUCUAGACCCCCCAAACUCCUCCUAGACCCCCCAAAUCCCCCUUAA
This 1305-nucleotide long non-coding RNA is filed under the name Taeniopygia guttata (zebra finch). Its description in RNAcentral is "lncRNA (ENSTGUG00000021548.1)". The record is from RNAcentral. Lineage: Eukaryota; Metazoa; Chordata; Aves; Passeriformes; Estrildidae.